AGGGGGACCUUCGGGCGCUCGUUGCCAUCGGGAUGUGCCCAGAUGGGAGUUAGCUAGUAGGUGGGGUAACGGCUCACCUAGGCGACGAUCCCUAGCUGGUCUGAGAGGAUGACCAGCCACACUGGAACUGAGACACGGUCCAGACUCCUACGGGAGGCAGCAGUGGGGAAUAUUGCACAAUGGGCGCAAGCCUGAUGCAGCCAUGCCGCGUGUAUGAAGAAGGCCUUCGGGUUGUAAAGUACUUUCAGCGGGGAGGAAGGGAGUAAAGUUAAUACCUUUGCUCAUUGACGUUACCCGCAGAAGAAGCACCGGCUAACUCCGUGCCAGCAGCCGCGGUAAUACGGAGGGUGCAAGCGUUAAUCGGAAUUACUGGGCGUAAAGCGCACGCAGGCGGUUUGUUAAGUCAGAUGUGAAAUCCCCGGGCUCAACCUGGGAACUGCAUCUGAUACUGGCAAGCUUGAGUCUCGUAGAGGGGGGUAGAAUUCCAGGUGUAGCGGUGAAAUGCGUAGAGAUCUGGAGGAAUACCGGUGGCGAAGGCGGCCCCCUGGACGAAGACUGACGCUCAGGUGCGAAAGCGUGGGGAGCAAACAGGAUUAGA
Molecule: ribosomal RNA, 598 nt
Filed under: Escherichia coli
Lineage: Bacteria; Pseudomonadati; Pseudomonadota; Gammaproteobacteria; Enterobacterales; Enterobacteriaceae
Description: bacterial SSU rRNA
Rfam family: Bacterial small subunit ribosomal RNA
Source: RNAcentral